CCCAGACAGCCAGGAUGUUGGCUUAGAAGCAGCCAUCAUUUAAAGAAAGCGUAAUAGCUCACUGGUCGAGUCGGCCUGCGCGGAAGAUGUAACGGGGCUAAACCAUGCACCGAAGCUGCGGCAGCGACACUGUGUGUUGUUGGGUAGGGGAGCGUUCUGUAAGCCUGUGAAGGUGGCCUGUGAGGGUUGCUGGAGGUAUCAGAAGUGCGAAUGCUGACAUAAGUAACGAUAAAGCGGGUGAAAAGCCCGCUCGCCGGAAGACCAAGGGUUCCUGUCCAACGUUAAUCGGGGCAGGGUGAGUCGACCCCUAAGGCGAGGCCGAAAGGCGUAGUCGAUGGGAAACGGGUUAAUAUUCCCGUACUUGGUGUUACUGCGAAGGGGGGACGGAGAAGGCUAUGUUGGCCGGGCGACGGUUGUCCCGGUUUAAGCGUGUAGGUGUGUGUUCCAGGUAAAUCCGGUUCACUUUAACACUGAGGCGUGACGACGAGGCACUACGGUGCUGAAGCAACAAAUGCCCUGCUUCCAGGAAAAGCCUCUAAGCAUCAGGUAACAUCAAAUCGUACCCCAAACCGACACAGGUGGUCAGGUAGAGAAUACCAAGGCGCUUGAGAGAACUCGGGUGAAGGAACUAGGCAAAAUGGUGCCGUAACUUCGGGAGAAGGCACGCUGACA
RNAcentral lists this ribosomal RNA (672 nucleotides) under Salmonella enterica subsp. enterica serovar Haifa. RNAcentral describes it as "partial 23S ribosomal RNA". It matches the Rfam family "Bacterial large subunit ribosomal RNA", at positions 1084 to 1756 of the family's 2925-position model. Lineage: Bacteria; Pseudomonadati; Pseudomonadota; Gammaproteobacteria; Enterobacterales; Enterobacteriaceae. The record is from RNAcentral.